Molecule: ribosomal RNA, 465 nt
Filed under: uncultured bacterium
Lineage: Bacteria
Description: partial 16S ribosomal RNA
Rfam family: Bacterial small subunit ribosomal RNA
Source: RNAcentral
GACGAACGCUGGCGGCGUGCUUAACACAUGCAAGUCGAACGGAAAGGCCCCUUUGGGGGUGCUCGAGUGGCGAACGGGUGAGUAACAUGUGAGUAACCUGCCCUUGACUUCGGGAUAACUUCAGGAAACUGGGGCUAAUACCGGAUAGGAAUCCUUGCUGCAUGGUGGGGGUUGGUAAGCUUGGGCGGUUUUGGAUGGACUCGCGGCUUAUCAGCUUGUUGGUGGGGUAGUGGCUUACCAAGGCUUUGACGGGUAGCCGGCCUGAGAGGGCGACCGGCCACAUUGGGACUGAGAGACGGCCCAGACGCCUACGGGAGGCAGCAGGGGGGAAUAUUGCACAAUGGGCGGAAGCCGGAUGCAGCAACGCCGCGUGCGGGAUGACGGCCUUCGGGUUGUAGACCGCGUUCAGCAGGGGCGAAGCUUGUGGUGACGGUACCUGCAGAAGAAGCACCGGCUAACUACGUG